CCUACGGGAGGCAGCAGUGAGGAAUAUUGGUCAAUGGCCGGAAGCCUGAACCAGCCAAGCCGCGUGAAGGACGAAGGUGCCAAGCAUUGUAAACUUCUUUUGUCAAGGGACAAAAUCAGGCUCGAGCGCCUGACCGAGGGUACUCUAAGAACAAGCAUCGGCUAACUCCGUGCCAGCAGCCGCGGUAAUACGGAGGAUGCGAGCGUUAUCCGGAUUUAUUGGGUUUAAAGGGUGCGUAGGCGGACUGUUAAGUCAGCGGUAAAAGCCCGGGGCUCAACCCCGGCGAGCCGUUGAAACUGGCUGUCUUGAGAUGUCGAGAGGUAUGCGGAAUGCGCAGUGUAGCGGUGAAAUGCUUAGAUAUUGCGCAGAACUCCGAUUGCGAAGGCAGCAUACCGGAGGGGAUCUGACGCUGAGGCACGAAAGCGUGGGUAUCGAACAGGAUUAGAUACCCUUGUAGUC
Molecule: ribosomal RNA, 459 nt
Filed under: uncultured bacterium
Lineage: Bacteria
Description: partial 16S ribosomal RNA
Rfam family: Bacterial small subunit ribosomal RNA
Source: RNAcentral